CCCCUUAAAGYGGUACGCCCGCUGGKUUCAGAACGUCGUGCGACAGUUCGGUCCCUAUCCGUCGCGGGCGGAGGAAAUUUGAGAGGAGCUGUCCUUAGUACGAGAGGACCGGGAUGGACGCACCGCUGGUGUACCAGUUGUCCCGCCAGGGGCACCGCUGGGUAGCUAUGUGCGGACGGGAUAAGCGCUGAAAGCAUCUAAGCGUGAAGCCCCCCUCAAGAUGAGAUUUCCCACCGCGCAAAGCGGGUAAGAUCCCUCGAAGAUGACGAGGUCGAUAGGUCCGAGGUGGAAGCGUGGCGACACGUGGAGCUGACGGAUACUAAUCGAUCGAGGGCUUGACCUAU
Molecule: ribosomal RNA, 344 nt
Filed under: Geobacillus sp. LEMMY01
Lineage: Bacteria; Bacillati; Bacillota; Bacilli; Caryophanales; Anoxybacillaceae
Description: bacterial LSU rRNA
Rfam family: Bacterial large subunit ribosomal RNA
Source: RNAcentral